Molecule: long non-coding RNA, 511 nt
Organism: Oreochromis aureus
Lineage: Eukaryota; Metazoa; Chordata; Actinopteri; Cichliformes; Cichlidae
Source: Ensembl
UUAUAAAACAAAGCAAAGCCUUUCCAGUGCCUCACAAAGAGACUGAUCUUUCACACAGUCACUUACCUGAAAAAGGCAUUCUGCUGUGGACUGUUAUCUGUGCUUUAUCGGCGGCAAUAUUGCUGUUGGUGGUGGGCCUGCUUCUUCAUAAGAGGCAGAAAGUAUCAGCUUGUUUUUCAUCAGAACAGGUUUCACACUCAGAGGAAGACAACACCGGCCAGGAAGACAAGAACACCACUGACCCACAUCAAGCGGCAUAUGUCGUGGUCAGAAAACAAAGGACUACUAAAAGUAAAUUUUUAGUAGUCCUUUAUACUUUAUGCCUAAAUGAAUUAAAUACUUAAAUAAAUAACAGCAUGUGACAAAGAGCAUUUUAGUGUUUCGGUUUUAUCUUAUAUUUGUCGUUAGAUGGAAAUUAAUUUUAUCUGCCUAUGAACUUUUUAAGAAUGUCAGCAUUUGUGUAAGUAUCUCUUUCUCCAGUCAUUGUAAUUAUAAAUAGCAUCAAUAAAAG